GACGAACGCUGGCGGCGUGCCUAAUACAUGCAAGUUGAGCGCUGAAGGUUGGUACUUGUACCAACUGGAUGAGCAGCGAACGGGUGAGUAACGCGUGGGGAAUCUGCCUUUGAGCGGGGGACAACAUUUGGAAACGAAUGCUAAUACCGCAUAAAAACUUUAAACACAAGUUUUAAGUUUGAAAGAUGCAAUUGCAUCACUCAAAGAUGAUCCCGCGUUGUAUUAGCUAGUUGGUGAGGUAAAGGCUCACCAAGGCGAUGAUACAUAGCCGACCUGAGAGGGUGAUCAGCCACAUUGGGACUGAGACACGCCCCAAACUCCUACGGGAGGCAGCAGUAGGGAAUCUUCGGCAAUGGACGAAAGUCUGACCGAGCAACGCCGCGUGAGUGAAGAAGGUUUUCGGAUCGUAAAACUCUGUUGGUAGAGAAGAACGUUGGUGAGAGUGGAAAGCUCAUCAAGUGACGGUAACUACCCAGAAAGGGACGGCUAACUACGUG
This 497-nucleotide ribosomal RNA is filed under the name uncultured bacterium. Its description in RNAcentral is "partial 16S ribosomal RNA". It matches the Rfam family "Bacterial small subunit ribosomal RNA", at positions 28 to 507 of the family's 1533-position model. The record is from RNAcentral.